Molecule: unclassified non-coding RNA, 329 nt
Filed under: soil metagenome
Description: partial contains 5.8S ribosomal RNA, internal transcribed spacer 2, and large subunit ribosomal RNA
Rfam family: 5.8S ribosomal RNA (bases 1-120)
Source: RNAcentral
GAUGAAGAACGCAGCGAAAUGCGAUAAGUAAUGUGAAUUGCAGAAUUCAGUGAAUCAUCGAAUCUUUCAACGCACAUUGCGCCCCUUGGUAUUCCGAGGGGCAUGCCUGUUCGAGUGUCAUUAUAACCCCUCAAGCUCAGCUUGGUGUUGGGGCCUGCUGCACUGGCAGCCCUUAAAAUCAGUGGCGGCGCCAUCUGGCUCUAAGCGUAGUAAUUCUUCUCGCUAUGGAGUCCUGGUGGAUGCUUGCCAUCAACCCCCAAUUUUUCUAUGGUUGACCUCGGAUCAGGUAGGGAUACCCGCUGAACUUAAGCAUAUCAAUAAGCGGAGGA